Molecule: transfer RNA, 98 nt
Filed under: Acidobacteriota bacterium
Lineage: Bacteria; Pseudomonadati; Acidobacteriota
Description: Acidobacteria bacterium tRNA-Ser
Rfam family: tRNA (bases 15-88)
About the family: Transfer RNA (tRNA) molecules are approximately 80 nucleotides in length. Their secondary structure includes four short double-helical elements and three loops (D, anti-codon, and T loops).
Source: RNAcentral
GGCGGCGCCUGACCAUGGGUGAGCGGUUGAAACCGGCGGUCUUGAAAACCGUUAGCCUCGAAAGGGGCUCGGGGGUUCGAAUCCCUCUCCCUCCGCCG